RNAcentral lists this ribosomal RNA (427 nucleotides) under uncultured bacterium. RNAcentral's name for it is "partial 16S ribosomal RNA". It matches the Rfam family "Bacterial small subunit ribosomal RNA", at positions 355 to 774 of the family's 1533-position model. The record is from RNAcentral.
UGGGGAAUAUUGCACAAUGGGCGCAAGCCUGAUGCAGCCAUGCCGCGUGUAUGAAGAAGGCCUUCGGGUUGUAAAGUACUUUCAGAGGGGAGGAAGGCGAUGUGGUUAAUAACCGCGUCGAUUGACGUUACCCGCAGAAGAAGCACCGGCUAACUCCGUGCCAGCAGCCGCGGUAAUACGGAGGGUGCAAGCGUUAAUCGGAAUUACUGGGCGUAAAGCGCACGCAGGCGGUCUGUCAAGUCGGAUGUGAAAUCCCCGGGCUCAACCUGGGAACUGCAUCCGAAACUGGCAGGCUUGAGUCUCGUAGAGGGGGGUAGAAUUCCAGGUGUAGCGGUGAAAUGCGUAGAGAUCUGGAGGAAUACCGGUGGCGAAGGCGGCCCCCUGGACGAAGACUGACGCUCAGGUGCGAAAGCGUGUGGAGCAAACA